Long non-coding RNA from Felis catus (domestic cat), 2650 nucleotides. RefSeq lists it as uncharacterized. The transcript has 7 exons. NCBI's taxonomy places the organism in Eukaryota, Metazoa, Chordata, Mammalia, Carnivora, Felidae. The record is from RefSeq and is a predicted model, not a curated record.
UGAUGGCGGGGGCAUCCUGUGUUCAGGGAUCUAGAGAGAAGUGUUGUUUUCAACCACUGGGAUGCAAUUUGAGGAGGGACAGUGUCUCACUAGAGGUGAAACCAGCAGGCAGGGGCAGCGUGAAGUCCUGUGGCUCAGCCUCUCAGACCUGCCAGGACCCUGCCUCGUUCUCAUCUGUCGCCCAAGGGCCUGGCCCCGCUCCUCAUGCCCAUGCCUUGAGGCUGUGCCAAGAUGCCUGCCUAGACCUCAGUGAAUCACCUCCCACUGGACAGGGCAGAUGCUGCUCUUUGCCUGCCCGGCAGCCUGCCACUCUGUGCCCUGCUGCUGGUCCACCUGCCCUGCCCCAGGGGGUUCCCGGUCUUCUGGCUUCUGCAGAAAGCAGCACUAAUUUCUGGCUAAUAAAAUGGUUCCCCGGAAUCUGGCCUGUUUCCACUCCUUCUACUUCCCAAUGAGAUCUAGACUCCCCUUUUCUUUCCUCAUCUGAUUUGCAAGUGGGGGCCCUGGGGGCACCAUGCUUGCACGUUCAUACCUAACAGAUCUAGGGGACGGGGCAUAAGGUGUCCUUGCAAUUCUGAGCUGUUCAGAAGCCCUGCUUCAGGGGCAGCUGCAGGGAGAGUGUCUCUCAGGAUGUGUGAUGAGGUGUUGGCUAUCAGCUCAGGUUCGGCUGGAGGCCAUUUCCCCAUUUCAGAUGUUAGAUUGGGACUCUGUCGCUAUCCAAUUGGUUGUAUUUUUGGAAGGUCUAUAAGGAAGAUACCAAUAUGAGGAGUUAAGACCCCUGGACUUCUGGCUUAGAUAGCUAAGAUUUCAGAAAGUGAGUGAAUUGGAACCCUUAGACAUUGCUGGUGGGACUGUAAAAUUUAGUGUAGUUGCUGAGGAAAGCAUAUUGGCAGUUCCUCAAAAAAUGUUAAACAUUUGAUGAAGCAAUUUCACUCCCAGCUAUAUACCCAAGAGAAGCGAAACCAUAUGUUCACACAAAGACUUGUACACAAAUUUCAUAGCAGCCAAAUAUUCGUAAUUGCUAAAAAGUGGUAGCGACCUAACGUCCAUUGACUGAUGAAUGGAUAAACAAAUCAGAUCGUCGUACAAAAGGAUAUCAUUCAGCCAUAAAGCUAGAAGGAGGUGCUAAUGCACACUUUAAGAUGGAUGUCCAGCAAAGCACCACGCAAAGUGAAUGAAGUCAGACACAAAAGACCACAUAUUAUGUUACUUCAUUUCUAUGAAAUGGUCAGAACAGGUAAAUCUACAGACGGUAAGUAGGCUAGCGGCCGCCAAGGGUUGGGACAGGAUGAAUGGGGAGUGACGACAUAAUGGGUAGGGGUUUCCUUGGGGGUAAUGGACAUAUCUUGGAAGUGGACGGUGGUGAUGGUUACACAACAUUGCGAAUGUCAUGAAAGUCACUAAAUUAUAUACUUUAAAAAUGGUUAAAUGAUUCUGAAGUUGGAUGGGCCUGAAUCCACUUUAGAAUGCUCCUGCAGAAUAGGACAAAAUGCAAGAUCGGCGUCUCUCUAAUCCCAGAAGCAGGCAACGAUUUCUCUCCUGUGACACCAUGGGGACAAGCCCAGAGAGCAGACCUGUGGGCCUGGGGAGGUGGAAGGAUUUCUAUGAAACUUGUCUGCAGAAAAGCCAGACCUGCCAGGACAUUGCUGCAAAAUGACAGCUGCAUUCACAGAAUCCACUCUUCUCAGUUUGCAGAUGGGCCAUAGAAAACCACCAACAACAGGAGACUUUUCAACAAAUAACCGAGGGAUGUUCUGGGAAUUCUACUGCUUCUUUGCUGUGACCUCUGGAGAUUUUCUAAAUUAGAAUCAUUACCUAUAUGGGAAGCCUGCAAUGCAAAUCAAAUGAGAGGCCACGGGCAAGCUAAUGAAGGCCAGUGACCCGGGGAUCUAAUGAAGAUGAACAGCUCUGUUACAGGGAGAGGACGCCACCAUAUCACAUGCCGCUUGGAGCAGGAAAAGAGUUUCAGAUGAUGAGGUCACCAAAGGUCAGAAGAUGAGCCUCCAAAGGAAAUACAGAAGAAUAUACUUUGGAAGGGCUGAGCAAAGUGUGGACAUUGAAACUAAGGAAUGCUAUAGCAAGUGUGCCUAGGAGGUGCCUGGCUAGAACAGUGAAGACGUCAACCAACGCUGCAGCUCUCAGUGAGCCAACAAUAGACUAAGAGUUGGGGGAUCAAUUUUCCCCAUUGAACAAUCAAGAAAAACUUGGAGACCCACAACUGGAAAACAUUUACUUGAAAAUCACUGAUUCAGGAACUUCUGAGACUGGAGCAGCCCACAUGUGUGCUUAUAAAAGGGAGGCAGAGGGAGACUUGACCAAUAAACAGGAGGAUUCAAUGUGAUCAUGGAGGCACCGAAGCUGGAAGAGGCAAAAACAGAUUCUUCCCUAAAGCCGUUGUGGCGCACAGCCAUGCUGAUAUUCUGACUUCAACCCAGGGACACUGAUUUUGGACUUCUGACUCCUGGAACUGUGAGAAAAUGUUUUUCUAUUGUUUUAACCCACCAAAUUUGUGGUAAUUUGUUAUAGUGGCCACAGGAAAUGAAUACAUCCUCCAUUUUUCAGAGUAAAAGCCUGUAAAAUUCAGGGUCCCCGGGUGGUUCAGUUGGUUAAACCCCCAACUUCAGUUCAGGUCAUGAUCUUGCAGUUGGUGAGU